Molecule: ribosomal RNA, 460 nt
Filed under: uncultured bacterium
Lineage: Bacteria
Description: partial 16S ribosomal RNA
Rfam family: Bacterial small subunit ribosomal RNA
Source: RNAcentral
CCUACGGGGGGCAGCAGUGAGGAAUAUUGGUCAAUGGGCGGAAGCCUGAACCAGCCAAGUAGCGUGCAGGAUGACGGCCCUACGGGUUGUAAACUGCUUUUAUACGGGAAUAACGCGCCUUACGUGUAGGGCUUUGCAUGUACCGUAUGAAUAAGGACCGGCUAAUUCCGUGCCAGCAGCCGCGGUAAUACGGUAGGUCCGGGCGUUAUCCGGAUUUAUUGGGUUUAAAGGGAGCGUAGGCCGCAUGUCAAGCGUGCUGUGAAAUGCCCGGGCUCAACCCGGGCCUUGCAGCGCGAACUGGCGUGCUGGAGUCUGCGGAAGGCAGGCGGAAUUCGACGUGUAGGGGUGAAAUGCUUAGAUAUGAGGAGGAACCCCGGUUGCGAAGGCAGCUUGCUGCAGCGGAACUGACGCUGAUGCGCGAAAGCGCGGGUAUCGAACAGGAUUAGAUACCCGUGUAGUC